Molecule: ribosomal RNA, 716 nt
Filed under: uncultured Lachnospiraceae bacterium
Lineage: Bacteria; Bacillati; Bacillota; Clostridia; Lachnospirales; Lachnospiraceae
Description: bacterial SSU rRNA
Rfam family: Bacterial small subunit ribosomal RNA
Source: RNAcentral
GAUGAACGCUGGCGGCGUGCUUAACACAUGCAAGUCGAACGAAGCACUUUAACCUGAUUCUUCGGAUGAAGGUUUUUGUGACUGAGUGGCGGACGGGUGAGUAACGCGUGGGUAACCUGCCUCAUACAGGGGGAUAACAGUUAGAAAUGACUGCUAAUACCGCAUAAGACCACGGAGCCGCAUGGCUCAGUGGGAAAAACUCCGGUGGUAUGAGAUGGACCCGCGUCUGAUUAGGUAGUUGGUGGGGUAACGGCCUACCAAGCCAACGAUCAGUAGCCGACCUGAGAGGGUGACCGGCCACAUUGGGACUGAGACACGGCCCAAACUCCUACGGGAGGCAGCAGUGGGGAAUAUUGCACAAUGGGGGAAACCCUGAUGCAGCGACGCCGCGUGAGCGAAGAAGUAUUUCGGUAUGUAAAGCUCUAUCAGCAGGGAAGAAAAUGACGGUACCUGACUAAGAAGCACCGGCUAAAUACGUGCCAGCAGCCGCGGUAAUACGUAUGGUGCAAGCGUUAUCCGGAUUUACUGGGUGUAAAGGGAGCGUAGACGGCUGUGUAAGUCUGAAGUGAAAGCCCGGGGCUCAACCCCGGGACUGCUUUGGAAACUAUGCAGCUAGAGUGUCGGAGAGGUAAGUGGAAUUCCCAGUGUAGCGGUGAAAUGCGUAGAUAUUGGGAGGAACACCAGUGGCGAAGGCGGCUUACUGGACGAUGACUGAC